RNAcentral lists this ribosomal RNA (292 nucleotides) under uncultured bacterium. RNAcentral describes it as "partial 16S ribosomal RNA". The record is from RNAcentral.
GGACUACUGGGGUUUCUAAUCCUGUUUGCUCCCCACGCUUUCGCGUCUCAGCGUCAGUUACGUCCCAGCGAGCUGCCUUCGCAAUUGGUGUUCCUCCUGAUAUCUGCGCAUUUCACCGCUACACCAGGAAUUCCACUCGCCUCUUCCGUACUCUAGCCCGACAGUAUUCACCGGCUUUCAGGGGUUGAGCCCCUGACUUUUACGGCGAACUGAUCGAACCGCCUACACGCUCUUUACGCCCAAUAAUUCCGGACAACGCUAGCCCCCUACGUAUUACCGCGGCUGCUGGCAC